Sebastes umbrosus (honeycomb rockfish) is the source of this 202-nucleotide long non-coding RNA. RefSeq lists it as uncharacterized. NCBI's taxonomy places the organism in Eukaryota, Metazoa, Chordata, Actinopteri, Perciformes, Sebastidae. The record is from RefSeq and is a predicted model, not a curated record. The transcript is spliced from 3 exons.
GCCAAUUGUUGGUUCCAUCGCAACAUCAGCGCCCAGCAACGGAGCUACACUUCAUAGGGAGCACAUAUGGACUGUAAAGCAUGAUUUACAGCACUCUUUUGGGUUUCCUGUCCUGCUAUCUGCACAUUUGGACCAUGGCUCUUCUCCUCCCCUGAGACACCUUAGACCAGAGGGAGCCACUGGAGAGGAGCUGAAGAGCCGC